AUACGGAGGAUCCGAGCGUUAUCCGGAUUUAUUGGGUUUAAAGGGUGCGCGGGCGGCCAUUUAAGUCAGCGGUUAAAUCGUGGGGCUCAACCCCAUUCUGCCGUUGAUACUGGGUGGCUUGAUUGCGGUCGAGGUUGGCGGAAUUCGUUGUGUAGCGGUGAAAUGCAUAGAUAUGACGAAGAACACCGAUUGCGUAGGCAGCUGACCAGACCGCAAAUGACGCUCAUGCACGAAAGUGCGGGGAUCGAACAGGAUUAGAUACCCUGGUAGUCCGCACAGUAAACGAUGAAUACUUGUUUUCGGCGAUAUAAUGUCGGAGGCAAAGCGAAAGCGAUAAGUAUUCCGCCUGGGGAGUACGCCGGCAACGGUGAAACUUAAAGGAAUUGACGGGG
RNAcentral lists this ribosomal RNA (392 nucleotides) under uncultured bacterium. RNAcentral's name for it is "partial 16S ribosomal RNA". It matches the Rfam family "Bacterial small subunit ribosomal RNA", at positions 523 to 918 of the family's 1533-position model. The record is from RNAcentral.